AACGAACGCUGGCGGCAUGCCUAACACAUGCAAGUCGAACGAUGCCUUCGUGCGUAGUUGCGCACGGGUGAGUAACGUGUGGGAACCUUCCCUGUUGUACGGAAUUCUACCGUUUAACUGGAGCUAAUACCGUAUGUCUUCCCCUAGUCAAAGAUUCAUCGUCACGGGAUGGGCCCGCGUUGGAUUAGCUUUUUGGUGGGGUAUCGGCCUACCAAGGCUACGAUCCUUAGCUGGGCUGAGAGGAUGAUCAGCCACACUGGGACUGAGACACGGCCCAGACUCCUACGGGAGGAAGCAGUGGGGAAUAUUGGACAAUGGGCGCAAGACUGAUCCAGCAAUGCCGCGUGAGUGAUGAAGGCCUUCGGGUUGUAAAGCUCUUUCGCACGCGACGAUGAUGACGGUAGCGUGAGAAGAAGCCCCGGCUAACUUCGUG
Molecule: ribosomal RNA, 433 nt
Filed under: uncultured bacterium
Lineage: Bacteria
Description: partial 16S ribosomal RNA
Rfam family: Bacterial small subunit ribosomal RNA
Source: RNAcentral